GGGCCGUGGACUGCAUAGAAGAGAGAAUGCCGGCAUAAGUAGCGAGAGGGAAGUGAGAAUCUUCCCCGUCGAAUGCCUAAGGUUUCCUGGGGAAGGUUUGUCCCCCCAGGGUAAGUCGGGACCUAAGCCGAGGCCGAAAGGCGUAGGUGAUGGACAGCAGGUAGAUAUUCCUGCACCACCGAGCGACGUUUAAAUGAGGCAAUGACACAGUAGGAUAGUCAAUCCGCGGAGUUGGAUUUCUGCGGCCAAAUCGUGAGGCUUGCACGUAGUGAAGUACGCGUGCUUUAAGGCUGGGCGAUGAUGGGGAGUGAAAAUUAGUAACGAAGUUGAUGAAUUCACACUGGCGAGAAAAGUUGCUAAAUAUGUUGUUAGGUGCCCGUACCGCAUACCGACACAGGUGGGCGAGGAGAAAAUCCUAAGACGGACGGGAUAACCCUUGUUAAGGAACUCUGCAAAAUGACCCCGUAACUUCGGAAGAAGGGGAGCCUACGAAAGUAGGCCGCAGUGAAGAGGCCCAAGCAACUGUUUACCAAAAACACAGGUCUCUGCAAAAUCGUAAGAUGAUGUAUAGGGGCUGACGCCUGCCCAGUGCUGGAAGGUUAAGGGGAUGUGUUAGCGCAAGCGAAGCACGGAACUUAAGCCCCAGUGAACGGCGGCCGUAACUAUAACGGUCCUAAGGUAGCGAAAUUCCUUGUCAGGUAAGUUCUGACCCGCACGAAUGGCGUAAUGAUUUGGGCGCUGUCUCAACAGGGGACCCGGCGAAAUUGUAUUAUACGUGAAGAUGCGUAUUACCCGCGACUGGACGGAAAGACCCCGUAGAGCUUUACUGUAGCUUGGUAUUGAAGUUCGGUGAUUUAUGUACAGGAUAGGUGGGAGACUUGGAAACAGGGGCGUCAGCUUCUGCGGAGUCACCCUUGGGAUACCACCCUUGAAUCAUUGGACCUCUAACACUAGACCGUAAUCCGGCUGGUGGACAGUGCCAGGUGGGCAGUUUGACUGGGGCGGUCGCCUCCCAAAAUGUAACGGAGGCGUUCUAAGGUUCCCUCAGGAUGGUUGGAAAUCAUCCAAAGAGCGUAAAGGUAGAAGGGAGCUUAACUGCGAGACAGACAUGUCGAGCAGAUACGAAAGUAGGACUUAGUGACCCGGCGGUAGAGUAUGGAAUUGCCGUCGAUUAACGGAUAAAAGUUACCUCGGGGAUAACAGGCUGAUCUCCCCCAAGAGUUCACAUCGACGGGGAGGUUUGGCACCUCGAUGUCGGCUCG
Molecule: ribosomal RNA, 1262 nt
Filed under: pig gut metagenome
Description: bacterial LSU rRNA
Rfam family: Bacterial large subunit ribosomal RNA
Source: RNAcentral